Molecule: long non-coding RNA, 647 nt
Organism: Pocillopora verrucosa
Lineage: Eukaryota; Metazoa; Cnidaria; Anthozoa; Scleractinia; Pocilloporidae
Source: RefSeq, a predicted model, not a curated record
GUCUGAGGAAUUCUCACCAGUUCAAAACUUAAACUUUUUUACAAAUUAUAUCCCAGAAAAGCUACGUGACGUAUUUACUGUGGCAGCUGGCAGCAGCAGUGUUGAAGAGUGAGUCACUUUACGACGAUUUUCCUCUACGAAGCACGUAAACAAGAAAAUGAAGUGGUCCGUCGUCUCAUCGCCAGCGCUACUGCUCCUGUAUUUGGUGACUCUCUCUUCUGCUGAGGAAAGUAAAGGGAAGACACCAGUCGACCUGAAGGUUCCAUUAACCUCGACUUUGGACACUGCAUCAUUAAAUGGUACAAAAUGGAAAAAAUGCCCGGAUGGAAUGAUAUGCUGGAGUACUUUCACGUGUUGUCCAUGGAGGAGUCCUCGGAUGUAUUCAUGUUGUCCUCUAACAAAUGCUGUUUGUUGCCCUGACCUUAAACAUUGUUGUCCGGAAGGGCAAUCUUGUUCAGCUGAUUUAAAGUGUAUACCUGAGCACAGAUUUCAUUAAUAUCGCUGAAGGAAUACGAUGUUUCGGCAUUUAUUGUCGUUGGCUGAAUACAAAGCCAAUUCCUCUUUACCAUGACAAUCAGUCGGAUAAAAUUAUAUGGCGUUGGUAAUAUUUAAUACCAGGAAAUAAAAAAGUAUACUUAAAAAAGAAA